UGAUCGAGUUCGCCAAGUGGCCGAGCGAGACAGAAGAGCUCCUUGGCACUGGAUGCCUCCGGGUCUGGUUGAGAGAGGAAUGGUUAGGAGAUUGUUCUGAGGAUAUGCAGACAUCAUCCAAAGCUUCCUACAUUCAGAUGAGGACAGAGGUUGGGCUAGAGCUUUGUAUGCUUGUUACCUAAGUAUGGUUCUGACCAUGUAAGCAGAUCACAGAAGCUAUUCACAGAUCAUCAUCAGCCAGAGGUGACUUCUGUUGCUUGCAGCUCAGAAUCCUAGAUGUUUCUGGUGGCACUGAAGAGCCUCUGCCGAAGCUCUAUACCAUUUGCCAUGUACAAAGGGAAAUGAAAUAAUAACGCCGACCAUUUGUGGAGCACAUUCUGUCUGGAGGCAAAUAAUGCCAAGAUGGGAAAGCCACAUAAUGGAAGGAUCCCAGAUUUCAGAGCUGUCACUUGGAGGAGGGGCACACAGUGAAGGUGUCUAUCUAACCCACACCAUAUCUUCAUGAAGUGGCCAUAUGGAUUUGAUCCCUAUCCUUCAGAGGUGCUCAGCCUAAGGGAACAUGGGUAGAAGAUUAAGCACUGACCAGGCUCAAGUUCGUACAUUCCAACUUGUUGUUUGGGCCUUGUUGGACAUAACCAAAGUCUGGAUGGCAGGGUGAAAAUUGGAUAAACAGCCACACUGACUCAGGGGAGAAUUUUUUUAAUGCAAACAUCUGUUUCUUGAAUUUGGCCAUGGUAAGACCUAAGGGAAGGGGGAAUACCAGUUGAUGAAAUAAGAUCAAGAAGAUACUGCCUCAUUUAUUCUUCUGUUUCAGGGGUAUAAAUCCUGCCUUCUCUCAGCCUUACAGAGGAAGAAAACCCUUUCCAAGUUUCCUCUGAUACUGGGUUUAUGCCCAAUUCUAGUUUAGGCAUGAAGAAACUGAAGCAUGGAGGAAAAACUAAACAACUAGCCCAAUGUCACACAGGCAAGCCAGCCUUGACAAUGUGCUGAUGGCAACCU
This 999-nucleotide non-coding RNA is filed under the name Pongo abelii (Sumatran orangutan). Lineage: Eukaryota; Metazoa; Chordata; Mammalia; Primates; Hominidae. The record is from RNAcentral.